RNAcentral lists this long non-coding RNA (1605 nucleotides) under Sus scrofa (pig). Its description in RNAcentral is "lncRNA (ENSSSCG00060056804.1)". Lineage: Eukaryota; Metazoa; Chordata; Mammalia; Artiodactyla; Suidae. The record is from RNAcentral.
AUGGCUCCGAUUAGACCCCUAGCCUGGGAACCUCCAUAUGCCUUGGGUGUGGCCCUAGAAAAAGACAAAAAAAAAAAAAAAUUAGACCUUAACAGAAAAACUAAAGUCUCUCUACCCCAGAGCCAAGUGGUGUCAAAUCAGAUAUUAUCUUCCAAUCUUGUAAACAUCGACUUAACCUGCAGAAAAAGGAGUGUGUGGUACUUUUUAUUUGUCGUAACAGUGUUUUGCUAUAAUAUGGUUUUUCACUCCACACUGUUUUUUGAGAUUAGUCCAUGUUACAUACAAAUUUUGAAGCAUAAUCUCCAGGCGACACCCGAGCUUCAAGGUGAAGGGCCUGGAGUCAAAAUCCUGCUUAGUGCUUACUCCCUGUGUGAUUUUAUGUCCUGAGCCUCAGUUUUCUCUGUAGGGAAAUUAAGAUAACAUAGACCCUAAAAGAGCGUCUCGUAAGGUUGAGAAAAGCAAAUGCACAGUGCCUGACACACAGCAAAUGCCCAGAGAACGUGUGACUAAAGGCACUGGCUUGUAGGUUAAUUUGGAAACGAUCUGCAUAUUUACAAUAUUCCAGCCUCCCACCUGGCGAUGAGACGUCACUCUUCAUUUUUUUCAGAUCUUUUAGGUCCUUCCCCAAACAUGUAGAGAUUUCUCUUUCAAAAAAAAAAAUUCUGCACAUUUUUAUCUAUUUACUUGUCUUUUUUAGGGCUGCACCCAUGGCAUACGGAGGUUCCCAGGCUUGGGGUCCAUUUGGAGCUGUAGCCGCCCUACACCACAGCCACAGCAAUGCAGGAUCCAAGCCACGUCUUUGACCUACACCAGCUCACAGCAAUGCCAGAUCCUUAACCCACUGAGCGAGGCCAGGGAUCAAACCCGCUCUGCCACCCCUCUAUGUCAACAAUAGUUCAACAGAUUAGAAAAAAGAUUGAUAUAAUUAAGAAGAAAGAAGAAGAAUAUGUGACCGUCUCAGAUGCAGAAGAAGCAUUCAAUGAAAAAGAGCAUCCCUGAUAAAACUGUGCCUUAAUGUAAUCAGGUGUCUGUCAAAAGCCUCAGCAAAACUCAGAUGGACAGGUUGGCUUGCCAAUCACCCAUGUAGGCAUUAUUUUAAGAUAAGAAAUGGGGAGUUCUCUUUGUGGCUCUGCAGGUUAAGGACCCGACAUUGAGUCUGUAAAGAUGCGGGUUGGAUCCCUGGCCUUGCUCAGUGGGUUAAGGAUCUGGUGUUGCUGUGGCUGUGGUGUAGGCCUGCAACUGCAGCCCCAAUUUGACCCCUAGCCAGGGAACUUCCAUAUGCUGCAGGUGCAGCUGCUAAAAGCAAAAAAAAAAAAAAAAAAAAAAAAAAAAAGAUAAGAAAUGGACCUGAGUUCUCUGCAUAUUUUAUAUAACCCUGCCUGACUGGAGAAGAAACCCAUUUCCAAGGUGCCACACCCAGAUCUGGUAGGUGGUUGGGACCUUAUUGCCUGGAACCACCCCGUCCCACCCACCAUAGGCACAGUUCGUCGGCAAGCCAUUUGGAGGCUCAAGGUCACUCCUCAGACUGCUUCUGAUGAGGGAAGAAGACAUUCUAUGGCAGGAAAAGUCAAUAAACAAUAGAUGUUCUUGGAGUUCCUGUUGUGG